UAGAUAAACUAAAUAUGCCUGUGACUUAACUAACAGUCAGGUGACUCUUUAUAUUCUACUUAAAGCACCAUCCAUGUGCUAUGCUUUUCGCAUUUGCAUUUUUAAAACUAGAAUCUCUACCUCAUUAAAAAUGAAGUCUCUCUUGACAACAUUCAGUGUGCCUUCAUGCUAAUAAAUGUUUAUGCAUCGUCUUACCACCAGGGGGCAUUGUGGUUUGACUGUCCAUUUAAACAGCCCGCAGUCUAUCAGUUUACCCAGCAAAGAGGAGGCCUGGGCCUAUUUCUGAUUCCUUCCAAGAAGGAAUCGUAUCUGGAAGAGAACAGAUGUCGAUUCUUUUUCCUCACUAGCAAACGGUAGUGUUGUCAAAUUUGCUAAAUUUAGCAGUUGAAGAUUAACAUGCAGUAUAUAAUAUGCAUGUGCCUAACUGUACAAUAAAUAGUAAAUCACAUUUUUAUGCUUUCUCUGAACUUGGAAGCUGCAAG
This 482-nucleotide long non-coding RNA is filed under the name Bos taurus (domestic cattle). RNAcentral's name for it is "long non-coding RNA NONBTAT008986". Lineage: Eukaryota; Metazoa; Chordata; Mammalia; Artiodactyla; Bovidae. The record is from RNAcentral.